This is a small nucleolar RNA of Ahaetulla prasina, 183 nucleotides long. RefSeq annotates it as small nucleolar RNA SNORA74. The transcript has a single exon. Lineage: Eukaryota; Metazoa; Chordata; Lepidosauria; Squamata; Colubridae. The record is from RefSeq and is a predicted model, not a curated record.
CCCAGUGGUAGUCAGCUGUCUGGGUCAUUUUCCAUGCCUUUGACAGCGUUACACUACUGGGAGAUAAAAGGACCGUCUCGGGGUCUGCCAGUGCCUGUCUCUGUUCCGGAGACGGUCCUGGGCUUCUUAGCAAGUGUGCUGAGCAAAACAGACCCGGUCAGCACAAGUUUGGAAGCAAACACA